RNAcentral lists this long non-coding RNA (1019 nucleotides) under Fragaria vesca (wild strawberry). RNAcentral's name for it is "long non-coding RNA (FVES_LNC000566)". The record is from RNAcentral. Lineage: Eukaryota; Viridiplantae; Streptophyta; Magnoliopsida; Rosales; Rosaceae.
GUAAAAUUUAACCAUGAGAGAUACCGUAUUCACAUCAUCAAAUAUGCAUACUUACAAACAAAACCCUUUUCAGUCGAUGAUGGAGAGCUACUGCAGAACCCAUUUCCCACUCGAUCCCAGCAGCAUUGAGCCUAUCAUUCCUGGUGCAUCCAAGCAGCAAGAACUUCAGAGACCACAUAACAGGGAUGCAGAGGUAUCAGCGUCGGCACUUUCUGUUUCUUAACACAUGCGGCAAGGCAGCACAUAUGCGAAAAUGAACCUACUGAAAAUGUAAUAACAUAGUUUCUUCAUACUGCCUAAGGGUGCAUGUCCCCUAAGGCAGUACAUAUGUCUUCAGACUUGAAUGAUAAAUUCUGCAAUCGGUUCCUUCAAACUUCCAUUAUCUCUUUGGUUCGGUUAAAGGAACCUGACCUUGGUUUCUCAAAAAAGAAGAAGAAAGGACCUGACCUUGGAAUGCAGGAAUUAUAGUUUCCAUCUAAAAGGUUUGAGAUUUGACUCUUAAACCUUGUAACUUUGAAAGAGGACAUUGGUAGGGCUUUUUAUAUGUUUUCUGAUUCACAGAUGAGAUUAGAUAAUAGCUCUGGCUACUGGUUCUUGGGUGCUUCAAGUGAUGUCUUCAUGGAAAAUGAUAGGUUGGGUUAAAAACCUCUAAUUGUUUUCUAAAAGUUGGCCAUGAUAAUUGAAAACUGCACAUUCAAAUCCAGGACUCAAAUCUUUUGUUUGCUUUCAUUUACAAAAACACCAGAAAUCAAGGGAAAUAGAUAUUUUGGACAAAUCCUACUCUUGUUAUGAAUCCCUCUAGACAAAAGCCUUCAUGCUAACAACCUGAUUAGGCCACCCAUAUUUACUUUACAUGCUAAAUAACUAACCAAAACAUGAGGAGCUCAAUGAAGGAGGGAAACCAUUCACCGUCCUUAGUUAGAAUCUUACAGUAAACUAAAGAAAUCUAGGAUUCUCCAGCUCAGAUUGCUUCUUGAAGAUGGGAUCGUAUUGCCUCUGGACAUGAUUUUUUAUUGAUG